UUUAUCAUCACACCGCCGGGUGAGUGAAGAAAACUAGCAUAUCAAUAAGCGGAGGAAAAGAAACCCAACAGGGAUUGCUUUAGUAACUGCGAGUGAAGCGGCAAAAGCUCAAAUUUGAAAUCUGACGUCUUUGACGUUCGAGUUGUAAUUUGGAGGGAUAUCUUCGGAGCUGGGGCCGUUCUAAGUUCUUUGGAACCGGACAUCAUAGAGGGUGAGAAUCCCGUGCCUGGAUGGCUGUCCUGCUCCAUGUGAAGUGUCUCCAACGAGUCGAGUUGUUUGGGAAUGCAGCUCAAAAUGGGUGGUAAAUUUCAUCUAAAGCUAAAUAUUGGCGAGAGACCGAUAGCGCACAAGUAGAGUGAUCGAAAGAUGAAAAGCACUUUGAAAAGAGAGUUAAACAGUACGUGAAAUUGUUGAAAGGGAAGCGCUUGAGACUAGAUUCAGCUGGCGGCGAUCAACCGUGCUUUUGUUCGGUGCACUUGCCGUCGGUUGAGCCAGCAUCGGUUCUGAUGGUGGGAAAAAGAUUUGAGGAAUGUGGCUCCGCGCUAUUGUGGAGUGUUAUAGCCUUGAGUGAAAUGCCACCGGUUGGGACCGAGGACCGCGCUUUUGCUAGGAUGCUGGCUAAAAGGUCUUAAGCGGCCCGUCUUGAAACACGGACCAAGGAGUCUAACAUCUAUGCGAGUGUUCGGGUGAAAAACCCUUGCGCGUAAUGAAAGUGAACGGAGGUGGGAACCUCUUUGGGGUGCACCAUCGACCGAUCCUGAAGUUUACAGAAGGAUUUGAGUAGGAGCAUAGCUGUUGGGACCCGAAAGAUGGUGAACUAUGCCUGAAUAGGGUGAAGCCAGAGGAAACUCUGGUGGAGGCUCGCAGCGGUUCUGACGUGCAAAUCGAUCGUCAAAUUUGGGUAUAGGGGGCGAAAGACUAAUCGAAACCAUCUAGUAGCUGGGUUCCUGCCGAAUUUCCCCUCUCAGGAUCCAGUAACGCUAAUCAUCACGUAUCUAAGUAUUGCGCUGACUUCGUAAAGCUGUAUUUGACCCAGCGCUCUACUAGUAUG
RNAcentral lists this ribosomal RNA (1051 nucleotides) under Otidea nannfeldtii. RNAcentral describes it as "partial large subunit ribosomal RNA". It matches the Rfam family "Eukaryotic large subunit ribosomal RNA", at positions 1 to 1130 of the family's 3401-position model. The record is from RNAcentral. Lineage: Eukaryota; Fungi; Ascomycota; Pezizomycetes; Pezizales; Pyronemataceae.